UAGGAUUUGGUGUAGUUGGUGGCACUAAGAAUUUUGAAUUCUUAGGGGUAGGUUCAAGUCCUAUAAUCCUAG
Molecule: transfer RNA, 72 nt
Filed under: Perodicticus potto (potto)
Lineage: Eukaryota; Metazoa; Chordata; Mammalia; Primates; Lorisidae
Description: tRNA-Gln
Rfam family: tRNA
About the family: Transfer RNA (tRNA) molecules are approximately 80 nucleotides in length. Their secondary structure includes four short double-helical elements and three loops (D, anti-codon, and T loops). Further hydrogen bonds mediate the characteristic L-shaped molecular structure. tRNAs have two regions of fundamental functional importance: the anti-codon, which is responsible for specific mRNA codon recognition, and the 3' end, to which the tRNAs corresponding amino acid is attached (by aminoacyl-tRNA synthetases). tRNAs cope with the degeneracy of the genetic code in two manners: having more than one tRNA (with a specific anti-codon) for a particular amino acid; and 'wobble' base-pairing, i.e. permitting non-standard base-pairing at the 3rd anti-codon position.
Source: RNAcentral